RNAcentral lists this unclassified non-coding RNA (641 nucleotides) under Hevea brasiliensis (rubber tree). Lineage: Eukaryota; Viridiplantae; Streptophyta; Magnoliopsida; Malpighiales; Euphorbiaceae. The record is from RNAcentral.
UUUUUUUUUUUUGGUUUUGUUUUUCCUUAUACAAGUACAGUGGUGAUCGAGGAAGGCCAAAUAGUGCAGGUAUUUUCAUAAGUGGAUUCGUAUUGGGAGGAAUAGUGGUUGGAACAUUGGGAUGUGUGUAUGCUCCACAGGUACUGCUUGAUCAUCUAUCUGAUAAAUUGUUGUUGAAUUUGCUAUGUGUUAACUGUUAAGUAAGGCUUCUGUUUUACUAAGUUAUUCAUUGAUGUUGAUGGUGUAUGUUCUCUUGAAGGCUAUGCCUUUAUAUCAUGGGAGUUGUAGCUUGACUACUGCUAUAUAUGAUGCGUCAUUUGCUGCUUUUAUCUUCACAGUUUUAUCUUUCUUUCUUUCGCUCUCUCUCUGAAUGCACUUUUGCUUUGCCUUGGUCUUUACUUGGAUGUUAAAUCUAAUCUUCUAGUCCAUAUGAUUAACAUUUUUUGUUCAGGUAAUGAUGUUUAGGAGAAGAUGUAAGUAUUUGAGCAUCUAGUUAGCCAAAAAUCAGUAUAUUAUGCAUUAACACUUUUAUAUGGACUUUUGGCCAAUAGCUCUCUUCUUGUUCUACAGAACAGGAAACCCAUGGACCACAUCUGAUGGAUGUUUCACUGAUAUUGCAGAUCAGCAAGGCACUAGCUGGA